This is a long non-coding RNA of Parus major (Great Tit), 810 nucleotides long. RefSeq lists it as uncharacterized. The transcript has 3 exons. NCBI's taxonomy places the organism in Eukaryota, Metazoa, Chordata, Aves, Passeriformes, Paridae. The record is from RefSeq and is a predicted model, not a curated record.
GGCUCUGGCCAGCCCUGUUUCCCACCGGGUGCGUUUGGAAGGCAGCAGUGGGAGGGUUCCGGCAGCAACACCCACACAAUCAAAAGCUGCUCUAUCCAGCCGGGCCGAGCGUUUCUGUGGGAGCCCAGGAGCGGAUAAUGGAGGCAGUGUUUGCGCACAUUUCGGCGCUAUCGCGGAAAUAACACGAGCCGUCACUCCUGCUGCAGCUGCACGGCCACCACGGCACCCUCCCACGGGCACCUGGGGGGCCACAGGACUGCCCAUGCUGGGAUAAAACCAAAAGAAGCCCCUAGCCCCAUGGGUCGGUCCUCUUCCCAAAAAUCCAAAGCCAGCGCAGGAUUUUCAGGGCCAGGGACGCGGUGCUGGGUGUACACCGGAGGACACGGCGGCAGCAUCUCAUCUGCCUCGGGCUGGGGGAUACGCCGGAAUCCUGCGGUGCGGGAUGACUGGCCCUCGACGCUGGAGCAGGGAGAGCUACUUUUUCCGAGAGUGCCUUUAAUUAAUGGCAGAAGGAGCUGACGGGGCGGCUCGGAAGCGCUCAAGAAGGGCUUUAGCCCUGGAGCUGGCAGUUCUGCACGGAUACCCCCUGCCCAGAGCAGGCAGCCCCGGCCCAUCUGAAGUCGCUGGGUGAGGGGCGGCACCAAAGUUUCGCCAGGUUUUGCUCUUGUUUGACAGUGAUUUCAAUAAUAAUGCUGGAGGAUCCUGGGGCAGCAGGAGCCCCGGGGGGCUCAGCAUCCCCUGGGGAGGGGCGGGGUGAGGGGGACUCAUUUAAAUCCUGGAGAUUGUGAAGAUUUGGUAAGAAAACAAACA